AAAGAAGAUAGGCUGUAGUCUCAGCAGCUACUUGUGCUGGCAGGAGCAAGUAUCUGCCUAAAAGCAAAACCAGGAAAACAUCCAUUUGAUAUACUUUCCAAAAUGCAGCUUGAUUCAGUCAAGGUUCUUUUCAUGCUCGGCUCCUUUGUUUUAGACCUACUACUGCUUGUUUUUCGAAUUGACUAUUUGCUGCAGGAAUUUUGUUUUAAUUUAACAGGCAGCUGGAGCUUAUUAAACACGAUUUUCCGUGGUAGUAUUUUAUAUCAGUACUUGAUAAUGGGACACCUGUAAACACCCUCUAUAACAAGCACCUUUAGGCACCCAUGGAAUCCGCCUGCUGCAGUUAGCCUGGCAGGGAUGCUGGGUAACAACAGCACAGCAGCUUAAGCCCAAACUUUCUUCAAUGCAUUUUCCUCCUGCUUUCUAAUCUCUCCUGACAAUGUUGAAAGUUAUUACUUAGCUGCAUAAAGAAAACCAUCUGUCAAUUAUUUACCUGCUUGCAUGUGGGAUCAGGUACCCAGAAGCUGUUACUGCAAGCCAAGGCAAAUUCCCAGCUUCCAAGAAAGCAGAAAUCCAAUUGCAGUCAUCUGAUUCAACUGUCUAUCUGGGCAGUGAACCUGCUCUCCUCCACUACUUCCAGUUACAUACUCUUUACUCUGGAUGAAAUGGAACCCUACAACACACAGGGCUUCAAUAGAUGGCAACUUCAAUGAAAGGGAGGAAGAAAAACCAGAGCUCUGCACCAGCCAGUGAUGGGAAUGGAAACAUCUCUCUGUUCCAUCCAAAUGUAAUCUCCAGACCAGCCUUCCCUCACACUGCUCUUUCAGGCAGUGAUACGUUGGAAAGGAUUUCACAGCUUC
Molecule: long non-coding RNA, 860 nt
Organism: Pezoporus occidentalis (night parrot)
Lineage: Eukaryota; Metazoa; Chordata; Aves; Psittaciformes; Psittacidae
Exons: 3
Source: RefSeq, a predicted model, not a curated record